CUACGUUGCAAAAUACUCGGUACUUGGCUGGAGGUAUCCAAUGGACUUGUCCACCAGAGCGGACAACACAGUUAAUCUUUCCAUACGUCUCGUCAUGAUGUCCAUCAGCACUGCGAAACAAAAAACAGAUUAAUAAUAGGUGCUUGUCAGAAAAGUUGUGUGUAAAAGACCGAGGGAGACAUUAAACAUGAUAUACAAACCAAGUUCUGAUUACAAAAAUGAAAUAUUGUGUACUAAAUACUACACUUCUCAAAUAAAAAAGCCGAUAACACGACAACAGUACCUACAUGAUAAGUUUAUAAAUACAUAGUUGUUAUGUUGUUUUAUCUAUUCUACCAACCAUACAUUUUUAAUAUUAUUCAUUUUUAUUAAUUUUUACACUAUAACUAUGAUUUGUCAUCAACUGCUUUUUGUUACAAACACAAAUACUUAUUAACAAAUAGUUGUUAUGAUAAACAAAGGUUUGAGCUCAAUUUUCGUAAGUACGUGAAUUAUUAUAAUCGAAAAUAUUGUUUGUACAUUUUGUAAAUGAUUUUUUUUUUUAUGAAAAUGCCACUAAUUUAUGGAUAUUACUUAGCUAUUAAGACCUAAAAAGUAUUUGAUAAAAAUUAAGUAAAAAUAUUCUAUUAAUUUAACUAAAAUGUUAAGUAUACUAAAAAAAUAAUAUAAAAAUAUCAAUAUUAUAUUUAUGAUAU
Molecule: long non-coding RNA, 695 nt
Organism: Aphis gossypii (cotton aphid)
Lineage: Eukaryota; Metazoa; Arthropoda; Insecta; Hemiptera; Aphididae
Exons: 3
Source: RefSeq, a predicted model, not a curated record